Molecule: ribosomal RNA, 428 nt
Filed under: uncultured bacterium
Lineage: Bacteria
Description: bacterial SSU rRNA
Rfam family: Bacterial small subunit ribosomal RNA
Source: RNAcentral
CUCAACUGAGGGAUCGCAACUGAUACUGUGUGGCUUGAGUGCAGGAGAGGAGAGUAGAAUUCCAAGUGUAGCAGUGAAAUGCGUAGAUAUUUGGAGGAAUACCAGUGGCGAAGGCGGCUCUCUGGACUGUAACUGACGCUGAGGCGCGAAAGCUGGGGGAGCAAACAGGAUUAGAUACCCUGGUAGUCCCAGCCGUAAACGAUGAACACUAGGUGUAGGGGGGGUUUACACCCUUCUGUGCCGGAGCAAACGCAAUAAGUGUUCCGCCUGGGGAGUACGGCCGCAAGGUUGAAACUCAAAGGAAUUGACGGGGGCCCGCACAAGCGGUGGAGUAUGUGGUUUAAUUCGAUGCAACGCGAANAACCUUACCAGGGCUUGACAUNCCCCUGACCGGUGUAGAGAUACACCUUCUGUCUUCGGACAGCAGG